UACGGGAGUGGCAAGCGUUAUCCGGAAUUAUUGGGCGUAAAGCGUCCGCAGGCGGUCUUGUAAGUCUGUUGUUAAAGCGUGGAGCUUAACUCCAUUUCAGCAAUGGAAACUGUAAGACUAGAGUGUGGUAGGGGCAGAGGGAAUUCCCGGUGUAGCGGUGAAAUGCGUAGAUAUCGGGAAGAACACCAGUGGCGAAGGCGCUCUGCUGGGCCAUAACUGACGCUCAUGGACGAAAGCCAGGGGAGCGAAAGGGAUUAGAUACCCCUGUAGUCCUGGCCGUAAACGAUGAACACUAGGUGUCGGGGGAAUCGACCCCCUCGGUGUCGUAGCCAACGCGUUAAGUGUUCCGCCUGGGGAGUACGCACGCAAGUGUGAAACUCAAAGGAAUUGACGGGGGCCCGCACAAGCGGUGGAGUAUGUGGUUUAAUUCGAUGCAACGCGAAGAACCUUACCAGGGUUUGACAUCCUGCGAAUCUUUUGGAAACAGAAGAGUGCCUUCGGGAACGCAGUGACAGGUGGUGCAUGGCUGUCGUCAGCUCGUGUCGUGAGAUGUUGGGUUAAGUCCCGCAACGAGCGCAACCCACGUCGUUAGUUGCCAGCAUUGAGUUGGGCACUCUAGCGAGACCGCCGGUGAUAAACCGGAGGAAGGUGUGGAUGACGUCAAGUCAUCAUGCCCCUUACAUCCUGGGCUACACACGUACUACAAUGCUACGGACAAAGGGCAGCAAACUCGCGAGAGCUAGCAAAUCCCAUAAACCGUGGCUCAGUUCAGAUCGUAGGCUGCAACUCGCCUACGUGAAGGAGGAAUCGCUAGUAAUCGCAGGUCAGCAUACUGCGGUGAAUACGUUCCCGGGCCU
Molecule: ribosomal RNA, 857 nt
Filed under: uncultured bacterium
Lineage: Bacteria
Description: SSU rRNA
Rfam family: Bacterial small subunit ribosomal RNA
Source: RNAcentral